RNAcentral lists this unclassified non-coding RNA (416 nucleotides) under soil metagenome. RNAcentral's name for it is "partial contains 5.8S ribosomal RNA, internal transcribed spacer 2, and large subunit ribosomal RNA". The stretch from base 1 to 120 matches the Rfam family "5.8S ribosomal RNA", at positions 35 to 154 of the family's 154-position model. The record is from RNAcentral.
GAUGAAGAACGUAGCGAAAUGCGAUAAGUAAUGUGAAUUGCAGAAUUCAGUGAAUCAUCGAAUCUUUGAACGCACCUUGCACUCCUUGGUAUUCCGAGGAGUACGCCUGUUCGAGUGUUAUGAAGCUCUCAAAACGCAAUUGGCUUAAAACCUGAUUGUUGUUUUGGGUUUGAACUUUGCCGUGUUAUAACGGCUGGUUUUAAAAGUAUUAGCUGGUACUAGAACGAAUUGGUUCUACUCAACGUGAUAAUUAUCUGAUCGUUGAGGACAUUCCUUUCACGAGGAAUGGCCAUAGUAAAUUCAAUGGACUGCUUCUAAUCUGGCUUUAAUUCUUUAUUGGAUUAACCACUUUUCAAAUCUGACCUCGAAUCAGGUGGGACUACCCGCUGAACUUAAGCAUAUCAAUAAGCGGAGGA